This 483-nucleotide ribosomal RNA is filed under the name uncultured Entrophospora. Its description in RNAcentral is "SSU rRNA". It matches the Rfam family "Eukaryotic small subunit ribosomal RNA", at positions 569 to 1051 of the family's 1831-position model. Lineage: Eukaryota; Fungi; Glomeromycota; Glomeromycetes; Entrophosporales; Entrophosporaceae. The record is from RNAcentral.
AGCAGCCGCGGUAAUUCCAGCUCCAAUAGCGUAUAUUAAAGUUGUUGCAGUUAAAAAGCUCGUAGUUGAAUUUCGGGAUUAAUAUGUUGGUCGUGCCUCGGUACGUACUGGCAUUAUUGAUUCCUACCUUCUGAAGAACCUCGAUGUCAUUAAUUUGGUGUCUUGGGAAAUCAGGACCGUUACUUUUGAAAAAUUAGAGUGUUUUAAAGCAGGCUCGCGCUUGAAUACAUUAGCAUGGAAUAAUGAAAUAGGACGUUUGAUUCUAUUUUGUUGGUUUCUAGGAUCGACGUAAUGAUUAAUAGGGAUAGUUGGGGGCAUUAGUAUUCAAUUGUCAGAGGUGAAAUUCUUGGAUUUAUUGUAAGACUAACUACUGCGAAAGCAUUUGUCCAAGGAUGUUUUCAUUAAUCAAGAACGAAAGUUAGGGGGAUCGAAGACGAUCAGAUACCGUCGUAGUCUUAACCCAUAAACUAUGACCGACUAGGG